CCCUACUGCUAUCGGGGUGGAACUAAGACAUGCUAGUCGAGCGCCUUGAGCUAUGGCGAGGCGCGGCGUACAGCUCAGUAACACGUGGCUAACCUACCCUUAGGACGGGGACAACCCCGGGAAACUGGGGCUAAUACCAGAUAGGUGAGGAGGCCUGGAAUGGUUCUUUGUCGAAAAGGCGUUGAAACCAUGCUUUUCGACGUCGCCUAAGGAUGGGGCCGCGUCCGAUCAGGUUGUUGGUGGGGUAACGGCUCACCAAGCCUAUAACCGGUACGGGCCGUGAGAGCGGGAGCCCGGAGAUGGGCACUGAGAUAAGGGCCCAGGCCCUACGGGGCGCAGCAGUCGCGAAAACUCCGCAAUGCGCGAAAGCGUGACGGGGCUAUCCCGAGUGCCGUCCGCUGAGGAUGGCUUUUCCCCGGUGUAAUGAGCCGGGGGAAUAAGGAGAGGGCAAGACUGGUGUCAGCCGCCGCGGUAAUACCAGCUCUCCGAGUGGUAGGGAUGAUUAUUGGGCUUAAAGCGUCCGUAGCCGGCUUAGAAAGUCUCCUGUUAAAUUCAGCGACCUAAUCGUUGAGCCGCGGGAGAUACUACUAGGCUAGGAGGCGGGAGAGGCCGACGGUAUUCUCGGGGUAGGGGUGAAAUCCUAUAAUCCCGGGAGGACCACCAGUGGCGAAGGCUGUCGGCUAGAACGCGCUCGACGGUGAGGGACGAAAGCUGGGGGAGCGAACCGGAUUAGAUACCCGGGUAGUCCCAGCUGUAAACGAUGCGGGCUAGGUGUUGGGGUGGCUACGAGCCACUUCAGUGCCGCAGGGAAGCCAUUAAGCCCGCCGCCUGGGGAGUACGGUCGCAAGGCUGAAACUUAAAGGAAUUGGCGGGGGAGCACCACAAGGCGUGAAGCUUGCGGU
This 902-nucleotide ribosomal RNA is filed under the name uncultured archaeon. RNAcentral's name for it is "bacterial SSU rRNA". It matches the Rfam family "Archaeal small subunit ribosomal RNA", at positions 21 to 901 of the family's 1478-position model. The record is from RNAcentral.